AUACAAUAAAUAGGUACAAAACAGUGUCUCUCCUUACUGAAUUUAUAAUCUAUUGAUGAAAGUAUACAAUAAAUACCUAAAAAAUUGAAGGUGGCAACAUUUGAGCAGAGAUCUGACUGAAGAGUUGAAGCCAAGCACAGAAGUAGUAUGUAAGUAGGCAGAGGAAGCACUGCAUAUAUAGGCCCCAGGAAAGACUAUAUUUAGCAUUUCAAGAAAGUGCAAGUGCUUAGGAUGCUUAUAUCAAGUGGACAGAAAUGUUAGAGAAUUGGCCUAGAGCCCAGGCCAUACAUAAUACGCUCCAAAGGCUACGCUAAGGACUUUGACUCAAAUAAACUACUAGAAUGUGCCAUGGAAUUAAUUGCAUCACCCCAAAAUUGGUAUAUUGAAGCUCUAACACCCAAAUUUGGAGAUAGGGCUUUUAGGUUGUAAUUAGGUCAAGUAGUAUGAUAUGGGUGGACUCCUAAUCUGAUAGGAUUGGCGACCUUAUAAGAAGUUUCUGUCUCUCUCUCUGUCUCUGUCUCUAUCUCUGACAUGUGAGGACAUGUGAGAAGGCCAUCAGCGAGUCAGGAAGAAAGCUCUCACCAGGAACCAGACUGACUGGCAUCUUGAUCUUGGACUUCCAGCCUUCUAAUGUGACCUGUCCUUUGGACUAUUUCCCAGAUGGUUGUCUAUGCUAAAGUCACCUGUACAUCAUUUGCUUUUAUCCUCUUUGACAACACAUUGCCGUCAUCGAAUCCUUAGAGGUUGGGAAUUCAAUUCCUGGUGUGAUUCAGUCACUAAUAAGGAUUUUCUUUCUCGAAUCAUAUACACUGACAUUUAUAAACAACUCCUGGUUGGAGCUAUCACCAGAAGGACUGUGAUAUGGCACUGGCAAAAUCGAAGUUGGCAUCAUUUACAAAAAGCUCCAUAAUU
This is a long non-coding RNA of Canis lupus familiaris (dog), 912 nucleotides long. RefSeq lists it as uncharacterized. The record is from RefSeq and is a predicted model, not a curated record. Lineage: Eukaryota; Metazoa; Chordata; Mammalia; Carnivora; Canidae. The transcript is spliced from 4 exons.